Arabis alpina (gray rockcress) is the source of this 107-nucleotide non-coding RNA. The record is from Rfam. NCBI's taxonomy places the organism in Eukaryota, Viridiplantae, Streptophyta, Magnoliopsida, Brassicales, Brassicaceae.
AACCCAUGGUGAGGACAAUCCCUCUGAUAACCCUUGAAGCGUUCCCAUGAAGCCUUGAAUGCUUCGGUUGGAUCCUGAACAAAUGAGGAGAUCUUAGCUCUCAAAUC